AGCGUCGCUACUAGUGGGAGGACCGGGUAGUACAGCGCCGCCAGUGGUGGGAGGACCGGCGUACAGCGCCGCCAAUGGUGGGAGGACCGGGUACAGCGCCGCCGCCGGUGGGAGGACCGAUUACAGAGCAACAAGGUAGAGCUGGGUCUGAUGUUCCGAACCAAAUGUUGUGCAGAAGGCUUAGGAUCAUUAAUUGAGGCCAUUUGAUCCAUGGCUGCUUCAGCAGGAUGCCAUGGAAUUCCUUGUUCACAUGAUGGUCAACCAAGGAACGCAGAGGGUCGACCAGCCCAGACGCGGGGUUCGAUUGCCCGGCGCGGGGGAGCUGACAUCCCCCUGAUGCGGGGGGCCAGCGCCGGCUACAGGAGUCAAGAUCAUCCCCUCAACAGAGGGCUCGGCCCCCAACAAAGAAGGGAUUUGAACUUUUUUUCACCUUCCAUCACAGUGCGGAAUGUGGAGGAGUCACUGUGGUGGAUGUUUAUGUUAAAAUGUUUAUGUUUUGUUGACUUUUAUUUGUAUGACUGACUUGGCAAAUGAAAUUCCUCGUAUGUUGCAAAACGUACUUGCCUAAUAAAGUAUUAUUGUGUUUGA
Molecule: long non-coding RNA, 588 nt
Organism: Leucoraja erinaceus (little skate)
Lineage: Eukaryota; Metazoa; Chordata; Chondrichthyes; Rajiformes; Rajidae
Exons: 2
Source: RefSeq, a predicted model, not a curated record